GCCUACUUUUACGCGAACGCAAAUUGCAACUGCAACUUUCAUGCUAACUGUUCUCUGUUAUCUGGGCAUGUAUAGUAAUGUAAUUUUAUGCCAAUGCAAUGUGCUAUUUUUCAAAUUAAGCAUGAAAGUUGCAGUUGUAAUUUGCGUUGGCGUAAAAGUAGGC
This is a non-coding RNA of Paramuricea clavata, 163 nucleotides long. NCBI's taxonomy places the organism in Eukaryota, Metazoa, Cnidaria, Anthozoa, Malacalcyonacea, Plexauridae. The record is from the annotation of a GenBank genome assembly.